RNAcentral lists this ribosomal RNA (117 nucleotides) under Lepisosteus oculatus (spotted gar). Lineage: Eukaryota; Metazoa; Chordata; Actinopteri; Semionotiformes; Lepisosteidae. The record is from RNAcentral.
GUCAGCAGCUACAUCACCCUGCAGCUCUCAACUGGCUACGCCCUGAAGCUCAGCAGGCUUGAGCCUGGUCAGUACCUGGAUGAGAGACCUCCUGGGAAGCUAUGGUUGCUGCUGGAA